RNAcentral lists this ribosomal RNA (368 nucleotides) under uncultured bacterium. Its description in RNAcentral is "partial 16S ribosomal RNA". It matches the Rfam family "Bacterial small subunit ribosomal RNA", at positions 338 to 698 of the family's 1533-position model. The record is from RNAcentral.
CCUACGGGGGACAGCAGUGGGGAAUAUUGCGCAAUGGGCGAAAGCCUGACGCAGCGACGCCGCGUGAGGGAUGAAGGUCUUCUGAUCGUAAACCUCUGUCAGCAGGGAAGAACGGUCCCUUUGCUAAUCAGCAGUGAAUUGACGGUACCUGCAAAGGACGCACCGGCCAACUCCGUGCCAGCAGCCGCGGUAAUACGGCGGGUGCGAGCGUUAAUCGGAAUUACUGGGCGUAAGGCGCUCGUAGGCGGUAUGUCAAGUCAAGGGUGAAAUGCCCGGGCUCAACGUGGGAACUGCCUUUGAAACUGGCGGACUGGAGAGUGUGAGAGGAAGGUGGAAUUCAAGGUGUAGGAGUGAAAUCCGUAGAUAUC